UUCUUUUCCUCUUCUUGCUGCUGCUGGAGUCGUCGAUGGCACUACCAGAGCUUGCUAACGGUUAUACUGCCACCUAGCUAAUAUUCCGGGCUGUGGCUCAGGAGGAAGAGCAGGAUGUCCAUUAAUCACAGGGUUUUCAUCAGCAAGACGUUAAACCCCAAAUUGCCCCCAAUGGCCAGCAGGUGGUACCUUGAGAGAAACUGGAGCCUGGACCAGUGGUGACACUGAAGCGAGUGGUGGCCACCCGCAGGGUGCUGACAUUCUUCUGUGGCUGGAACAGGAUGAUGUGGACCUUGGGAGAAAAGAGGCAGCCCAGCACCACCGACCCACUCAGACUGACAGAGAUACACAUGGUGGUGGUUUGCACCUGGAGGAUGAAAGAGAGGGAAGAAAUUCACUUAAAAAGACAAAAGUCACCAUGAAGUUGCAGACAUGACACAUGGGAAGAGAGAUGGCUACAAGGGUCCCCAGGUAAAAUCAAACAGGGGAUUUUGCAUUUAUAUGGCAUGCGUAGUAAGUGUUCAGCUACCAGGGUGCUCUGAAAAUUGCCAAUCUUAAUUCAACACUGCCAGUGUUCAUGUGGACAUACAACUAAUGUCCCAGUGUUAAUUAAUGUUGCUUUUUUUCAGCCACAUUUUUGGUUGUUAAAAAUGUUUAUUGAAGUGUUGUUUAUUCAACCAUAGAGCUUAUCCAGCUCAGAAUUGAGGAUUUAAAACAUCCAAACAGUGUUAAAUUAACUCCACUCGUGUGGAAUCAUAUAAGCAUCAGCAGAGUGUUGAGGACCAUUUAGCUGCUCAAGAAUAUCCGUUUUAAUAAGGAAAGGGCUCAGAAAUCGUAAAAGAAAUGAUAAAGCCAUUUUUCAAAAUUCUGAAUCCAAGGCAGGAGGAAGGAGGACGCUAUCAGCUGGGACUGCUAAAGAGAGGUGUUUAACGAUCUGUUUAUUUGCCUGUCAAUCAAAUGCUUAACCCUUGUUCCUCUUUCCCCUCACUCUGCCCACAUCUCGCUAUACGUGUCAUCUGUCUGUCUACUUCUUUAUUUCUAAUGUUCUUGCAGCUUUCUUUUUGUUAUUCUUGGAUAACGGGAUACAGCUCAGCACCGUGUGGCAGGUGCAUCCCAUUUUCACAAGGCACAGUACGUGUCUGUCAUCACUGUGAAUGCUAAUGUUGGUAUUAAAAUAAUAUGGGCAACAAGUAUUAUGCUGUGCACACACAGUUUGGCAACAAAGAUAAAAUGAUAAUAGCAGAUAUACAGCAUCCAUUAGUUUAGGCAGGGAUGUACAAAGUCAAUUUACCCAAUUUUAUUUACAGAACAUUGUUUGAUCAUCUUCCAUGAAUCUUUAUCUGUUUCUUACUCUGUUACAAUACAUAAUUACUAAUUACCUCAAAAGUACCCCUCAACUGAUAAUAAAUGAUAUGGCAGUAUAAUAGAGAAAAAGUUCUGUACAAUGAUGAUUUGCUGAUUAUAUAUUUGAUAUAUAUAUAUAUAUUUUUGCUCUAUGUGUUCACUGACUAAAGGUCAUAGCGUACUAUGUCCUGUGAAAUUUACCAUUCUAUCAUGAAUUCAUCUCUAUCUUGAGAUGUACUGUGGGUUGUCAUGUUCCAUGAAUUCAAAAUUAGGAUUCACCUCAUGCAGUAUCUGAAAUACAGCACACAUACUAACAGGCUCAUGUCCUGGGUUGAGAUGUAAAUUCACAAGAACCUACUGUUGCCAUUUUCCCUAUAUCUGUACUGUAUAUUUGAAUACAUGGAGUAAGGGGAACAUACAAAGGCAAAGUAAUUGUCAAAUCUAAGCAAUACCACGGUGAACAAAAGCUAAAUGUCCUCUACUUAACUCAGAAAUAGUUUUGAAUAAACCCGCAGACAGCUCUGCAUAGGAAUGACCUGUUAAGUGGUUUUAAUAAUUCACAAGAUGUUGCUUAGGAAAAGCAGAGGACAAGGAAUCUGCCUUUGCAGUAAUAUUUUUCCAGAUGUCUUCUGUUCGAGUAUGAAGAGCAGGAUGUAGAGCACAGCUACUAAGGUUUCUGCUUGUCUCUGUUUACUGUUGUUUUUACUGUGUUUGGCCUUUGAAGGCAUUAUUUUAUUUCACAAAUACAGCACCAGUGCUUCAGAUAUAAAUAAUGUCAGCUGUGUUCAGGUAGCUUUGUUCCUCCAGAGAACCUCACAGCAGAGAUGAGUUUCCUCUUUUUAUUGGGCUUUGUGCUGUAUGUUUAUUGAAAAGUUUUAUUAGAUGAACCAGCUACAUGCCAGUCUAGGUAGGCUGGCAUGGACCUUGAAUUGACAAAGCCCAAAAGUAAUAAUCGUAAUAUCGUGAUAUGGCAUAAGUGUUGUCUUUUCCUGGCUUUAAAGGCUGUGUUACAAUAAAGUAGCUGCAUUACAAUGAAGUGAACUUACAUUACUACAUCAUUACUGAUGAUUAUUUAUCAAAAAUCUCUUGUUAAUAUUUUGUGAAAGUAUCCCUACAAUAUUGUUGCAAUAUCAAUAUUGAUGGUAUCUGAUCACAAAUAUUGUGAUAUUUGGUUUUGUCCAUAUCGCCCAGCCCUAGAUGGAAUCUGUCCUGUUUUUUUUAACUUCUUCAAUCAGACUCAAACAAACACAAACAUAUGACAGUAAAAAUGGAAAAAAUACCUGCAAUACCUGAUCCCAACUAGUUUCAUCAGCUGAUCUAGAUAGUGUACUGCUGUAAUUUUAUUUCUUGCACUAAUGCUGAACUGCUGGAAACAAUCCUGUAUUUCCUCCAAGGCAGUGGUUCUCACUGGCAGCAGAACCCCUUCAAGGACCCUGAUGCUUGUACUCUAUCCACUAUGUGUUAUAUAGCACCAUCAAUGGACUCUAUAGCAUUCUAUAGACAAAAAUACAGAGGUGUUGAACUGAUCUGAUCCCAGUCAAAGUAGCUUAAUUAAUAUUAAAAAGACAUGACUUAAGAAAGGUCUGUUUCAAGACAGAUCUUGAAAGGAUCAGUUAAUGUGAUGGGCAGUAGUUGUAAAGAUCACAUGCAAUACUUUUCCGUCUCCCAGUACUGUCUCUCAGUGUUUAAAUAGAAGUGCUGUGACUUUUGACUGCAGUGGCUGUUUAAUCAGUUGUGUUUGCCGUUGAGAUGAGAUGACCAGCACUGGGAUAUGAGGAGAGCCCUCUCCCUCAAGGUGCAGAGAACAUCUUCAAUAUUUCAUAUUGUAAUCAAAUGUGUUAUUCAUGGCUCAGUUGAUUGUAUUUAGUUUGCUUUAACAUUUCAUGACAGACCACAAUCAAAUCUGUAUUAGUUAUUCAGCUGGAGAUUUGCAUCAGGCUGUGACAACAAUUUUCGAAGUGGUGUAAAACUAGGAGAACACUAGUAAUAUGUCCCUGCCUGUGAAAAACUAGAGACACUGUGCCAACUCAGUUGCUUCAGUAAUUAUUUAUCGGUCAAAGGGGAGUUUUGUGUCUAUCUGAUGAGCCUGUUCUGGCUGUGAAUUGCUCACAUUGCCUGGAGGGCCAGGAGGAAGGGUUCCUCUGAGCAUCACUGAAGUCCCAGGACAGAGGGCACAGCUGGGACUCAGCAUCCUAGUCUUUCACACUCCAUUCCACACAGCUACGCACAGGGACGCACAGGGACGUUCAGUUCCCUUUCAGCCCUCAUGGUUUUGCCUGCCUCCUCCAUGUUUCUACAGAGGCAACUGUGUCUGGGGAUUCCUCUAUUUCUCCCUUCUGCCUCCCUCUUGCUGCACUCUGUUCAGAUCCCAGAGGGAUAUACCCCCACAACUCAGGUCACCCUUUUCUCUGAAGUUCUAUCUAUUCUGUGUAUGUAGGCAUCAUGUUAAAUGGUGUAUUUUAUAACCAGGGUUUUUUUGUUUUGUUUUGUUCUGGGUUUUUUUGUUUGUUUGUUUGUUUUUUUUACCAGGGUCAGGUUUAGGUGAAGGAGAAAUGUGAAGGACAUGCUGUGUGUCUUUUAUUGAUAAAAAGCCUAGAAUACACUAAUAAAGUAUUAGCCUACCACUAGUAGAACUAGGGAUUUGUUGUGGACAUAUAUUAUGUUACACUGCUCCAUGACUCGAGCAUCCAUGUUUUAUAAUUUACUCUAAGUUCAUUAAUAUUUACAUUUUAAAGGUAAAAUAAGGCUGUCAAAGUUCUUAUCUUCAAUAUCACCUGAGAGUCUUAAGUAUGUAGAUAAUUAUAAAGAAUUAAAGCAAUGCAGUAAUAAAAAAAAUAUAUUCCUAAGAGCCACAGACAACACAGACAUGGCCGACGGCUGAAUCGAUACUAACUGACAUUAGUUUGCGAUUUCAUGCUUAUAAAAUCCCAAUUCAACCCCAAAAGAAGUAAUUAUCUGAUAUGUAUUCUGCUCAGAUUACUGUUAGAACCCAAAGCCAUUUGAUCAAAAAUUUAGUACAGAUCAUUAGAUCAGCAUGUAUAUCAUUUAGAAAGCAUCAAAUCAACUCUUCAUUGAUAGGAUAAACAUGCACAAUGAUUAUCUUACAAUAAAAUGACUGCAUGUGAAAACACAUGAAGAGGGUAUAACC
Thunnus maccoyii (southern bluefin tuna) is the source of this 4492-nucleotide long non-coding RNA. RefSeq lists it as uncharacterized. The record is from RefSeq and is a predicted model, not a curated record. The transcript is spliced from 4 exons. Lineage: Eukaryota; Metazoa; Chordata; Actinopteri; Scombriformes; Scombridae.